GCCACUGGGCCAACACCCGUGGGGGGCGGGGAAGGGCGGGAGGGGAGCGGACCGGUUGGAGAGGGGCUCCUUCAAGCUGGCUGCAGUGCGGACUGGACCGGCGCGCCCCCGCGGCCUCGGGACCAGGUGAUCAAAAGUGCCCUGACACCCAGAGGUCUGCGUGAGGGGCGGCCACCAAAGGAAGGGGUCUCAGGCCACAGGAGCUGAAGAGUCUGGACAGAUGAACUCUGGAGUCUCAGGAAAAUAAAAGUUUUAUCUCCUGAGGAACCUUGAAGAUUCUUUUAAAGGUGAAACGUUUCGUCUUUCGAAUUGCACACCUUCUCAUCUGAGCUUAAAGGAGACGUUAAGUGUGAUAUUUUGAACUAUGUUUAAAUGAAGAUGAGAUAGAAGACAAUAGAACUGUUAGAAAUAUGUAAGUUUUAUUGUACAGCCAAAUAAGGAUUCAGCUGUUGUAGUGUGUUCUUUAAGAUUCCUAGUUUCUAUGUAAUUCUCUAAUUUUGUUUCAUUCUAUUGAACUACUCCUGAUUUCACCCUGAAAAUCUGACCUGAAACUCAAUUACAGAAAUACUGCCAAUGAAUUUAAAAUCAAAUGGGAACAUUUGUAUAUGAAUACGAUACAAUAUUGUUGAUUCACAUUUCUUUCCAUAUUAAAGACUAUUCUGAACUCUAAAUCUUUUAAAUAAAUGAGACUGAAAUCC
Molecule: long non-coding RNA, 698 nt
Filed under: Sus scrofa (pig)
Lineage: Eukaryota; Metazoa; Chordata; Mammalia; Artiodactyla; Suidae
Description: lncRNA (ENSSSCG00000038924.3)
Source: RNAcentral